GAGUUUGAUCCUGGCUCAGAUUGAACGCUGGCGGCAUGCCUUACACAUGCAAGUCGAACGGCAGCGCGGGGCAACCUGGCGGCGAGUGGCGAACGGGUGAGUAAUAUAUCGGAACGUGCCCUGGAGUGGGGGAUAACGCAGCGAAAGUUGCGCUAAUACCGCAUACGAUCUAAGGAUGAAAGCGGGGGAUUCGCAAGAACCUCGUGCUCCUGGAGCGGCCGAUAUCUGAUUAGCUAGUUGGUAGGGUAAAAGCCUACCAAGGCGACGAUCUGUAGCUGGUCUGAGAGGACGACCAGCCACACUGGGACUGAGACACGGCCCAGACUCCUACGGGAGGCAGCAGUGGGGAAUUUUGGACAAUGGGCGCAAGCCUGAUCCAGCCAUGCCGCGUGCGGGAAGAAGGCCUUCGGGUUGUAAACCGCUUUUGUCAGGGAAGAAACGCUCUGGGCUAAUACCCCGGAGUAAUGACGGUACCUGAAGAAUAAGCACCGGCUAACUACGUGCCAGCAGCCGCGGUA
This 518-nucleotide ribosomal RNA is filed under the name uncultured bacterium. RNAcentral describes it as "bacterial SSU rRNA". It matches the Rfam family "Bacterial small subunit ribosomal RNA", at positions 9 to 522 of the family's 1533-position model. The record is from RNAcentral.